GCAGGGUUGCCUUGCCACGAUUGCUCCAUGGAGGAGUCGCCGAGCCGGGCCCCUCGCUGGGCGAUUCCCUCCGCCCCCUGGGAUGCGCCGGGGCCCAAUGGCGCGCAUAUGGGCCGCUGCUCCUCCCUUGCCCUCCCAGGCCCCUUUUCUCUUUCUCAGAAGGGCAGGAAGAGACCUCAAGGAAUCCUUGCGUGUGCCUGGUGAACUUUACUGAAAGAGUUUUCAAUAGACAGGAUCACUGCAGAAAAAACCCUGGAAGACUGCCCAAACUUCCGAAUGGUGAAGCAUGUUAAUUAUAUGGAACCAGGGAGCGGUGGCAAGUUGCAAUAAAAGAAUAAGAAAAUCAGACGAUGAUGAUGAUGAUGACGACGACGACGAUUCUGUUCAUCCAAAUGAAGAUUGCAGUCUCCUUGACUGGGUGUUAACUCCAAUGAUUUGGGUCCUAGCCAAGACCUAAGAAUCAUGGAGGUAUCAUCAUCAUCUCUUGUAGGGAGGCCCCCUUCUUUCCCUCCCUUCCUCCAUCCUCCACCAUGUUUAUGUUUGGCAGAACAAAUACACCAGAAACAAUUGGUGCUGUGGAGAGGAUUACCUGGAAUAUUAUUCUAUGUAAAGAGUAAUUGUCACAUAACCAAGGACAACAGACGUGAGAUCACAUCUGUGGUAUUUCUUCUCUCACACCUUUUUAUUCUAGGCCAGAAGGUGAAAGUGGGAUCCAGAUGAACCUGGCAACUUUUCAGUGCCCAUACUGAAUCUCAUUUUUGGCAAGGCAGAUAAAAAUCGAUGACCUGUCUCUAAGUUAGCACUGAGCCAUAAGAUCAACUGGGUUGAUUGUUAAGUGUCGUUCAAAAGAAAACUGGGAAUUUGUGGGGAUAAUGAGUGACUCCCCUAUUAGAGAUCUCUAACUUUCUCAUAAAUGUAGUAGUAUUCCUUAGAGGACUGAGGGGAGUCAAGAUGGUUAAACCAAAUUCCAUUUAUAGCAGCCAGGGCAAAUCAAGAGAUGCUUUGCUUUAGGAAGUGACUGAAGUUACUGAAAAGAGCCACUAGAUGGCAAACUGAGCACAGGCAGGAAAAAGGACUUUUAUCCCACCAAAGAUAAUGAAUAGUUGUUCUUCUCAUCGCUCAAAACUGGUUCUUAGCUUGCAAGGCGAGAGGGCCUGUGAAAGGCCUGCCCUGCUUUUCAGCCAUAUUGGCACCGGUCAUACAUGCAUCCUGACGCUACAUUCAGGAUUUAAUUUAAGAUGGGUUUUUGGCGUACUAGCGCAUUUGCUCAAAAAUGCUGUUUGCAUUUUAGCUGUACUAGAGAAGCUGUUUGUGUUUAGCUGUCAUCCAGGUUGGACUCAAGCAAAGGCAGACAAAACCUGAGCUGAUUAAAGAUGCCACCAUCGACACAGUAACCUUGGGAGGAAACUGCUAACUCAGUGGGAAUUAUAUCUGAUUGGGGAGAAGAAAACUAACAACUCAGGUUGCAUAUGGUAUCUUGAGCUAGAUCUAGUAUGUCAGUUUUCAAGUUGUGCUGAGAGCCACCUACCAGAAGAACAAAUUUAUGCAACAGGGAUAUUGAUAGGAGAAAAAUAAGAAUGUAAAAUUUACCAAUGAAUUUCACACUUUCAACAUUUAUUUGUUUGAUUUAUAUCCCACCUUUUCAUUCAGCAACACACAGAGCACUCCCUCCUCCUGUUU
Python bivittatus (Burmese python) is the source of this 1680-nucleotide long non-coding RNA. RefSeq lists it as uncharacterized. The record is from RefSeq and is a predicted model, not a curated record. NCBI's taxonomy places the organism in Eukaryota, Metazoa, Chordata, Lepidosauria, Squamata, Pythonidae.